UACGUAGGUGGCAAGCGUUGUCCGGAAUUAUUGGGCGUAAAGCGCGCGCAGGUGGUUCCUUAAGUCUGAUGUGAAAGCCCCCCGGCUCAACCGGGGAGGGUCAUUGGAAACUGGGAGACUUGAGUGCAGAAGAGGAUAGUGGAAUUCCAAGUGUAGCGGUGAAAUGCGUAGAGAUUUGGAGGAACACCAGUGGCGAAGGCGACUGUCUGGUCUGUAACUGACACUGAGGCGCGAAAGCGUGGGGAGCAAACAGG
RNAcentral lists this ribosomal RNA (254 nucleotides) under uncultured Solibacillus sp. Its description in RNAcentral is "partial 16S ribosomal RNA". It matches the Rfam family "Bacterial small subunit ribosomal RNA", at positions 524 to 776 of the family's 1533-position model. Lineage: Bacteria; Bacillati; Bacillota; Bacilli; Caryophanales; Caryophanaceae. The record is from RNAcentral.